UACGUAGGGUGCAAGCGUUAAUCGGAAUUACUGGGCGUAAAGCGUGCGCAGGCGGUGAUGUAAGACAGUUGUGAAAUCCCCGGGCCCAACCUGGGAACUGCAUCUGUGACUGCAUCGCUGGAGUGCGGCAGAGGGGGAUGGAAUUCCGCGUGUAGCAGUGAAAUGCGUAGAUAUGCGGAGGAACACCGAUGGCGAAGGCAAUCCCCUGGGCCUGCACUGACGCUCAUGCACGAAAGCGUGGGGAGCAAACAGG
RNAcentral lists this ribosomal RNA (253 nucleotides) under uncultured bacterium. RNAcentral describes it as "partial 16S ribosomal RNA". It matches the Rfam family "Bacterial small subunit ribosomal RNA", at positions 524 to 776 of the family's 1533-position model. The record is from RNAcentral.